GAAAGAACCAACAGGAUUGCCUCAGUAACGGCGAGUGAAGCGGCAAGAGCUCAAAUAUGAAAUUCCGGCCCCCCUGGGGGCCUGAGUUGUAAUUUGCAGAGGAUGCUUCGGGCGCGACCGCGGUCCAAGUCCCCUGGAACGGGGCGUCGUAGAGGGUGAGAAUCCCGUCUCCGGCCGGCCGGUCUCGCCCGUGUGAAGCUCCUUCGACGAGUCGAGUUGUUUGGGAAUGCAGCUCCAAAUGGGUGGUAAAUUUCAUCUAAAGCUAAAUACUGGUCGGAGACCGAUAGCGCACAAGUAGAGUGAUCGAAAGAUGAAAAGCACUUUGAAAAGAGAGUUAAACAGCAUGUGAAAUUGUUGAAAGGGAAGCGCUUGGCGACCAGAGUCGGCCGCGGGGGCUCAGCGGGCAUUCGUUGCCCGUGCAAUCCCCCGCGGCCGGGCCAGCGUCGGUUUCGACGGCCGGUCAAAGGCCCCCGGAAUGUGUCGCCUCUCGGGGCGUCUUAUAGCCGGGGGUGCAAUGCGGCCAGUCGGGACC
RNAcentral lists this ribosomal RNA (532 nucleotides) under Histoplasma capsulatum. RNAcentral's name for it is "eukaryotic LSU rRNA". It matches the Rfam family "Eukaryotic large subunit ribosomal RNA", at positions 56 to 590 of the family's 3401-position model. The record is from RNAcentral. Lineage: Eukaryota; Fungi; Ascomycota; Eurotiomycetes; Onygenales; Ajellomycetaceae.